RNAcentral lists this transfer RNA (85 nucleotides) under Neisseria cinerea. RNAcentral describes it as "tRNA-Leu(tag)". It matches the Rfam family "tRNA". Rfam says of the family: Transfer RNA (tRNA) molecules are approximately 80 nucleotides in length. Their secondary structure includes four short double-helical elements and three loops (D, anti-codon, and T loops). The record is from RNAcentral. RNAcentral also lists the same sequence under 312 other names. Lineage: Bacteria; Pseudomonadati; Pseudomonadota; Betaproteobacteria; Neisseriales; Neisseriaceae.
GCGGACGUGGCGAAAUUGGUAGACGCACCAGAUUUAGGUUCUGGCGCCGAGAGGUGUGAGAGUUCGAGUCUCUCCGUCCGCACCA